UUUAAUAUGCUGAAAUUGGUAGACAGGCUCGUUUUAGGUACGAGUGACAAUUAUGUCAUGGCGGUUCGAGUCCGCCUAUUUGUA
Non-coding RNA from Wallemia ichthyophaga EXF-994, 84 nucleotides. Lineage: Eukaryota; Fungi; Basidiomycota; Wallemiomycetes; Wallemiales; Wallemiaceae. The record is from Rfam.